Molecule: ribosomal RNA, 465 nt
Filed under: uncultured Klebsiella sp.
Lineage: Bacteria; Pseudomonadati; Pseudomonadota; Gammaproteobacteria; Enterobacterales; Enterobacteriaceae
Description: bacterial SSU rRNA
Rfam family: Bacterial small subunit ribosomal RNA
Source: RNAcentral
CCUACGGGCGGCAGCAGUGGGGAAUAUUGCACAAUGGGCGCAAGCCUGAUGCAGCCAUGCCGCGUGUGUGAAGAAGGCCUUCGGGUUGUAAAGCACUUUCAGCGGGGAGGAAGGCGUUAAGGUUAAUAACCUUGUCGAUUGACGUUACCCGCAGAAGAAGCACCGGCUAACUCCGUGCCAGCAGCCGCGGUAAUACGGAGGGUGCAAGCGUUAAUCGGAAUUACUGGGCGUAAAGCGCACGCAGGCGGCCUGUCAAGUCGGAUGUGAAAUCCCCGGGCUCAACCUGGGAACUGCAUUCGAAACUGGCAGGCUAGAGUCUUGUAGAGGGGGGUAGAAUUCCAGGUGUAGCGGUGAAAUGCGUAGAGAGCUGGAGGAAUACCGGUGGCGAAGGCGGCCCCCUGGACAAAGACUGACGCUCAGGUGCGAAAGCGUGGGGAGCAAACAGGAUUAGAUACCCGAGUAGUC